ACGAAUCUUAAAAAUUAAUCUCAUAAUGAUUUUACAGUAUUAAUAUUGUUUUACUUACUGUGAUUGUAAACAUUGCAGCUGUAAUGUCAUCUCUUUGCUGCUUUAACUUUUAAAUCUAUGUGUAUUUCUCCACUAGCUACAAAUCCCGAUAAUAUAAUGGUCACCCAAACACCAACAAAAAUACAUCUGUCAAUUGGAGACUACACUGAAAUCGCCUGUACUUGGGAAAAAAAAUCUGUUCAGAGGUAUAGAGUAAGCUGGCAUCUUGUUGAUAGAGAGAACAUCACCAAUACUAUAUCAACAAAACUUUGCUAUGUAUCCAAUAUCACCUGUGAAAGCAAGGAUGUGCUAGUGAUAAAAUCUGCAAAUGUAAAUGACACUGGAUUUUACUACUGUGAGAUAAUUAUUGAAAUACCUUUCUGUAAGAAAGUGUGUGGAAAUGGGACAACAGUGACUGUUGAAGAGAAAGAAGCUCACUCAUUGAAAAAGAGAGAUUUGGCAAUAUGUGCCGUCGUUCCUUUCUUAGUGGCAGUGGGAAGCUUGUGUCUUUGCUACAAAAAGAAACAGCACUCUAAACUUUCUGGUUCUGCACAGCUUCCUGUGCCGGCGGGAAGGCAUCAGGAGGAGCAGAUGCUCGAAACUGCAGAACUUUAUGGGAGAAAUGAAUCCACCAAUGAAACAGCUGAGGAAAACUCAUCAUGUAAUUCUGCUGAAUGGGCUGUGUCUACGCUUUAUGAAUCACUUGAUUCUUUUCUGAAUGAAUCAAGAGGAAAAGAUGACAAAUCCACGGCAACUGUGGUAUCCAGUGCAGCAGAUGAGGAAAUCCCACAAACUAGGGCAGCUGAAAAAGUCUAG
Molecule: long non-coding RNA, 855 nt
Filed under: Calidris pugnax (ruff)
Lineage: Eukaryota; Metazoa; Chordata; Aves; Charadriiformes; Scolopacidae
Description: lncRNA (ENSCPUG00000003076.1)
Source: RNAcentral